UAUUCAUCGACAAAUCGCUUCUCAUACAUUGAGGAGAGAUGAAUGCCAAGAGGCUGACGCCGGUUCUGCUCGCCGUUCUAUUGCCAUGCCUAUGCCUUAUGUUCGUUGCAAACUGUAGCGACGUGGGCAUACCGGCGGCGGCUGGCGGUCUCCGGCGGCUACCGGACGGAGAGAAGAGCAACAAGAUACACAUCAUACUGUGUGUGAAGUCCCAUUGCUACGGUCCCGUCAAGACAUGUUACUGCUGCAACACACUCGUUAAUGUAACGUGCUACACAGAUCAGCAAUACUGCUGGAGCGUGUGUCCCAGUAGACUCCAAGGGAUGAUCCCUGCACCCGCGCCAGCGCCAUUGCCAUCGCCAACGGGUCGUCGCGGCAGGUUCUCUCGAGCCUCGACUUCUCCGACGAGUAACAACAAUUCGUGAAAUUAUGUCAUGCCUGACAGCGUGAGCGUAGGAUGAUGAUAUAUAUGCAGCAACUUUAAUUUAUAUGCAACAAUAAUGGACGGGAACAUUUUUGGGAUUCAGAUUCA
Long non-coding RNA from Zea mays, 532 nucleotides. RefSeq lists it as uncharacterized. The record is from RefSeq and is a predicted model, not a curated record. The transcript has 2 exons. NCBI's taxonomy places the organism in Eukaryota, Viridiplantae, Streptophyta, Magnoliopsida, Poales, Poaceae.